This is a transfer RNA of Metschnikowia bicuspidata var. bicuspidata NRRL YB-4993, 100 nucleotides long. It matches the Rfam family "tRNA". Rfam says of the family: Transfer RNA (tRNA) molecules are approximately 80 nucleotides in length. The record is from Rfam. Lineage: Eukaryota; Fungi; Ascomycota; Pichiomycetes; Serinales; Metschnikowiaceae.
GGGCGUGUGGUCUAGUGGUAUGAUUCUCGCUUUGGGUGAGGACGAGCCAUCGUUCACACAAAUAUGCGAGAGGCCCUGGGUUCAAUUCCCAGUAUGCCCC